RNAcentral lists this ribosomal RNA (493 nucleotides) under uncultured bacterium. Its description in RNAcentral is "partial 16S ribosomal RNA". It matches the Rfam family "Bacterial small subunit ribosomal RNA", at positions 28 to 507 of the family's 1533-position model. The record is from RNAcentral.
GACGAACGCUGGCGGCGUGCUUAACACAUGCAAGUCGAACGGUGAAGGGACCGGUUUUUGCUGGUUCUGGAUGAGUGGCGAACGGGUGAGCAACACGUGAGUAACCUGCCCCCUUCUUCUGGAUAACCGCAUGAAAGUGUGGCUAAUACGGGAUAUUCUGCGCCUGCUGCAUGGUGGGUGUGGGAAAGAUAUUGUUUCGGUGGGGGAUGGGCUCGCGGCCUAUCAGCUUGUUGGUGGGGUGAUGGCCUACCAAGGCGGUGACGGGUAGCCAGCCUGAGAGGGUGGACGGUCACACUGGGACUGAGACACGGCCCAGACUCCUACGGGAGGCAGCAGUGGGGAAUAUUGCACAAUGGGCGCAAGCCUGAUGCAGCGACGCCGCGUGAGGGAUGGAGGCCUUCGGGUUGUAAACCUCUUUCGCCAGUGAAGCAGGCCUGUCCCUUUUGUGGGUGGGUUGACGGUAGCUGGAUAAGAAGCGCCGGCUAACUACGUG